Molecule: ribosomal RNA, 372 nt
Filed under: uncultured organism
Description: partial 16S ribosomal RNA
Rfam family: Bacterial small subunit ribosomal RNA
Source: RNAcentral
GUAGGUGGCAAGCGUUGUCCGGAAUUAUUGGGCGUAAAGCGCGCGCAGGCGGUUCUUUAAGUCUGAUGUGAAAGCCCACGGCUCAACCGUGGAGGGUCAUUGGAAACUGGAGAACUUGAGUACAGAAGAGGAAAGCGGAAUUCCACGUGUAGCGGUGAAAUGCGUAGAGAUGUGGAGGAACACCAGUGGCGAAGGCGGCUUUCUGGUCCGUAACUGACGCUGAGGCGCGAAAGCGUGGGGAGCAAACAGGAUUAGAUACCCUGGUAGUCCACGCCGUAAACGAUGAGUGCUAAGUGUUAGGGGGUUUCCGCCCCCCUUAGUGCUGCAGCUAACGCAUUAAGCACUCCGCCUGGGAGUACGGCCGCAAGGCUG